Molecule: non-coding RNA, 45 nt
Filed under: Echinostoma caproni
Lineage: Eukaryota; Metazoa; Platyhelminthes; Trematoda; Plagiorchiida; Echinostomatidae
Source: RNAcentral
GCAUUGCUGACGAGUUUCACACAGGACAAAACAGUUGUCCAAUGC